This 73-nucleotide transfer RNA is filed under the name Acropora cervicornis. Its description in RNAcentral is "tRNA-Thr". Lineage: Eukaryota; Metazoa; Cnidaria; Anthozoa; Scleractinia; Acroporidae. The record is from RNAcentral.
GGCUUCACAGCUCAGUUGGUUGAUCAUCGCACCAGUAUUGCAGAGGUCACAGGUUUGAACCCCGUUGAAGCCC